Paramormyrops kingsleyae is the source of this 656-nucleotide long non-coding RNA. RefSeq lists it as uncharacterized. Lineage: Eukaryota; Metazoa; Chordata; Actinopteri; Osteoglossiformes; Mormyridae. The record is from RefSeq and is a predicted model, not a curated record.
GCAUACUGCGCCUGGCGGGCAGCUGCUCAGGGUCACUCUGCCGGCACAGGUACUCCGCCGCGGCCCGGGCCGGGAAUUCAGUCUCACACACGUAGCCGAAAUCCCGCGCCAAGUGAACGGCCUCCCCUGAGCAAGAGUAUCGUAAAGACAUUAGAUACGAUGGCAUACCUGAAUGUCAUCGAUCCCGUGAUGGCUCACCGCUUGCAUCAGAGAUCCGUCUCCAAGCGCUGCUGCCCCCUCCCCCAGUCCGUGAAGAAGACGGGGCACACCUGGGUACUCCCGCCUGGGGUCAAGGCUCAAAGCACGGGCGGGGGAAAGUACGGAGGCUGGAAUUCUGAGGCCGGUGUGUGACACAGUGGCGGAGCCGACGAGUAGGCCGCCUGGUUCAGAGAGGAGAGCUGAGAUAGCCGGCCGCCCGGAGACGAGCUGGUCUUCACGAAAAAACGCCGGCAAAGUUAAAAUCCAGAGUUCUUUCGUCUAUCUAGAAGAUCCAUUAAGCCAGAAGGGGCGUCUGAUAUUUUAUUUGUACCACAGUUUACCCCCACGUGCGGUUGUGGAUGCUAUUCGAUGCGCUAAAAGAGGGUGACAAAGUGUCUUCGACACUCCAUGAGCGCUACUUAUAGUUUUCUGAGCGCCCUUCGUAAAGCAGUGGGUGG